UUUUGUUUUUAGUGAUUCUUUAUUGGUGGUUUUGUUGACGCAUUUGAUUUUGGUUCAAAAUUUUUCUUUUGUUUCUACAUUCUGGUUGCUUUUGAUUUUUUUUUAUUUAUGGAAAGAGAGUUGGCAGAUCUAUCGUUGGAUGAUGAGGAAGACAAAAUAUUGCAGGCACAGACGAAUCUUGAUUCUGUACCUGUGGAAAUUUAUCUUUUUAUAGUUGGGUGUUUUCUAACAGCAA
This 235-nucleotide long non-coding RNA is filed under the name Gossypium raimondii (Peruvian cotton). Its description in RNAcentral is "long non-coding RNA (GRAI_LNC009574)". The record is from RNAcentral. Lineage: Eukaryota; Viridiplantae; Streptophyta; Magnoliopsida; Malvales; Malvaceae.